RNAcentral lists this transfer RNA (69 nucleotides) under Crossoptilon auritum (blue eared-pheasant). RNAcentral describes it as "tRNA-His". It matches the Rfam family "tRNA". Rfam says of the family: Transfer RNA (tRNA) molecules are approximately 80 nucleotides in length. The record is from RNAcentral. Lineage: Eukaryota; Metazoa; Chordata; Aves; Galliformes; Phasianidae. RNAcentral also lists the same sequence under 3 other names.
GCAAACAUAGUUUAAUUCAAACAUUAGAUUGUGAUUCUAAAAAUAGGAGCUCAAACCUUCUUGUUCGCC